UACGUAGGGACCAAGCGUUGUUCGGAUUUACUGGGCGUAAAGGGUUCGUAGGUGGCUUGCUAAGUCAGACGUGAAAUCCCUCAGCUUAACUGGGGAACUGCGUCUGAUACUGGCGAGCUUGAGUGCAGGAGAGGAACGCGGAAUUCCAGGUGUAGCGGUGAAAUGCGUAGAUAUCUGGAGGAACACCGGUGGCGAAGGCGGCAUCCUGGACCAACACUGACGCUGAGUGAGCGAAAGCCAGGGGAGCAAACGGG
This 254-nucleotide ribosomal RNA is filed under the name uncultured bacterium. Its description in RNAcentral is "partial 16S ribosomal RNA". It matches the Rfam family "Bacterial small subunit ribosomal RNA", at positions 524 to 776 of the family's 1533-position model. The record is from RNAcentral.